This 2577-nucleotide long non-coding RNA is filed under the name Chloebia gouldiae (Gouldian finch). RNAcentral describes it as "Erythrura gouldiae (Gouldian finch) lncRNA (ENSEGOG00005013364.1)". Lineage: Eukaryota; Metazoa; Chordata; Aves; Passeriformes; Passeridae. The record is from RNAcentral.
GGGCUGAUUCCCAAGCGACACUCUGGUUUGGGACUUUGAGGAGAUGAUCAAGUAGAGCUGACUGGCGCCCAGCCUCGCUGCAGCCGUGUCACCAGGGGACAGGGGACAGGCAGGACGUGGCAGGCUCCAGCACAGGCUCUGCAGCAGCAGCUCCAGGCCAGGAUAACCGAGAGCAGCCCCCGUGGCACAGCACCGGGACAUGGACCCCCCGACAGGACAGGAGCCCAGCAAGGUCAUCGGGGUUGUCCUGGGCGUCGGGCUGGCCCUGCUGGUCCUGGCGAGUUUUGGCUACACCUUCAUCCGGUGGUACCGGCGGGGCCGCUGCCAGCGCCGUGAGUACGGCAGGGGACAGGGCAGGGGACAGAGCAGGGGAUGGGGGACAGGGCAGAGGAUAGGGGGACAGGGCAGGGAACAGAGGGAUAGGACAGGGGGACAGGGCAGUGGGCAGGGGACAGGGGGACAGAGGGACAGGGCAGGGGGGCUCAAAGCACAGGGCUGCAGAGACUGGGCUGUGGGCAACACGGGAGAGGGGAACUGCUGUUGCAGGGGCUCGGGGCCAAGCUGGGGGCACUCUGAGAUGAGGAGGGGGAUGCACAGCGAUGUCCUGCUGCCUGUCCUGCCUGUCUCCACCCUGCCACUCACGGCAAAGCAACCUAUGGCUCUGACACUCUCCCUCCUCUUCCUCCUGCCUCCCCAGGGCCUGACUUUGUCUUCAGCUUCUACCGCUCACGGUGAGUGACGCCACGGGGGGACCAGGGGCAGGCUGGCAGCUCCCUUUGUGCAGUGCCAGGGUGUCACAACCCCUCUGCUCACCCAGUUCUGCUGUUGGCAGGGGGCUGGCAGGGGCUGGAGGAGGACGGGCAGCUUGGUGACCUCUCUGCUUUCCCUGCAGCGGGCUGGGGUCGGUGGCACUGGAGCUGGUGCCACCAUUCAGCAUCAGUGGCUCUCUGGGCACCUCGGGCAGUGGCUACGAGCCCUUCCACAACCAGGAGCUGUGAGGUGAGAGCUGGGCUGCUGAGCAGGUAGGGAGGACAUCCCUUUGUCCCCCCCUGCCCCCCAGUGCUGUGCCCUAAAGCCUCCCUGCUGCCUUGUAGCCCCUGGGCAUCACAGCUUUCCUCAGGACAGUCCCAAGGUUUUCCCAGCAAAAGUCCUGCCUGUGGCUCUGGGGCUUCAGAGGCUUUCCCUGAACUCUGGUUUUGGUUUCUCCCCACACAGGCUUAGGUUUAUGUUUCCUUCCUGCUGUCCUUGGGAUGGGACGUGCGGUCAGGGACAGGGGGACGGGGCUGGAGCCUGGGUGCUCUUGCAGAGCUUCCUCUUACUCACAGCCUGGCACAAACAGAAAAAGCAACAAAAACUGCCCGGGGGGAAUCCCUCCAUUUUCAGUUCUAUAAGAAACAGCCCCUGAAUUUGUUGGAUUUCAACCGAAACAGCAGUGGUGCAGUUUCUGUUGCUAAAAAAGCUUCCCAGAAUUACGGAAUCUUGGGGCUGGAAGGGACCUCUGGAGACCAUCUGGUCCAACCCCCCAGCCCUGCACAAGGUUACCUGCAACAGGUGACACAGGAACGCACCCAGGUGGGUUUGGAAUGUCUCCAGAGAGGGAAACUCCACCAAUUCCCUGCGCACCUCCUCCAUCUGCAGUUCUCUCACCGGCCCUGUGCAGCCCCAGGUGCACAGGAGGUGCCUGAGCCAGCACUGCUGCAGCUUCCCCUUGCUGGGGAUGGAGGAAGAGGAUGCAGCCUUAUCCAGGAUUCCUCAGCACUGAUCCUGGAGAAAACAGCCACAUUCCCCAUGCCCCAGAGACCUCCCAGCCUCCUGCACACCCAGAGGCCUGGCACCGGGCUGCCCCUUAGGGAGCCAGCUGAGGAGGAGCCCCAGAACUGAGUGACUGGAUUUGUGCAGCUGCAGGAAACACCGUGAGGAAAUGGGAAAUCUCUCUCAGUCCUCCUCCUCCAUCCUGCACCAACAUGGAAGUUGGUUCUCCACACUCCCAGUGCAAGGAAACACCUCCGAAAGCCCCUGUGGAAGUUAUUCCUGUGGUUUUGUGCCAGUUGCCUUCGGUCUCAGCAGAACAAGUGGCUGUGGGAGUGCUUGGAGCACAGGAACAGCCAUGGGGAGAUUCUGUGGUCACACAGAGGGGCCCUGCUUGGCCAGAGGGGGCUGGUGAGGCACGGGGGCCCUUGGGACCAUUUCUUUGCCAGACUCUCUCAGAAGAAAAGCAAAGAAAAACUCAUGAGAGCCACGUGGCCGUGUGUAGGGAAACCAGUGAGGACAGAGUGGGAUUUCCAGACCAGCUGUGCUCUCGGCUAUCAAAGCUAAACCCUGUGGUCUGUGGCUUUCUCCUGGCUGAAAGGAGACCUGUGAGUGCUCAUGGAGAGGGGGAAAUGCCAGCUCCUGGGGGCUGGGAGCCCUCCGUGGUGAGCAGGAUCCAGCAGAGCCCUGCAUGAUGCAGGAUCCGCCCGUGGGGCCUGACGUCAGCGGCGUUUAAAAGAAAAACAACGAAAAAAAGCCGUGCUUUUAAUGACUCCGUUUUCCAGAGGAAGUUGAAAAAAAUAAAAAAUAAACCAGAUCUAACCCCCA